Molecule: long non-coding RNA, 1030 nt
Organism: Zingiber officinale
Lineage: Eukaryota; Viridiplantae; Streptophyta; Magnoliopsida; Zingiberales; Zingiberaceae
Exons: 2
Source: RefSeq, a predicted model, not a curated record
CGUAUGGACGAGUUAACGGGGAUAAAAACGGGGCCAGGAAAAGUCUGUUUAGACUAUCCUGUUUUAAUGAGGAAAAGUUUUAUUUCCUUUUCCUUUUACUUUUUUUUUUCUUAUUCUCACUUACGCAUCCGAGCCGCACCCUUUCUCCUCGCGCCGACGCCUCUCCCUCGUGCCCGACUGCUUGCCCUAACCGGCGCCACACGCGGCGGUUAUCUCCUCGUCCGAACAACAGCCGUGCCCCACCUCUUCUCUGAUCCUUCUCCUCGCCACUGCCCGAAGCCCUCCUCUGCCGCCACCACAGCAACGUCGACCUUCUCAACGCCGAGCUCUGCACAACACCACCGCCGACGCUCUCCCUUCUUCCUCCUUGUCCAAGCGUCGGGGACACGCGAGCACAGCCGAGCAUAGCCCUACUCUUUGCUCUAGCGCUGUCCUCCUUCCUUCUCGUCUCUGCCUGACGACGCCACCCGAGCCCUCACGGCGAAUUUUUGCCCUAGCCGACGUUGUGACCUAGUUUGUGUUCACCGCCGACUCUCCUUCACUCUGCCCUAGCGAUGGCAGACGACCGCCCCUCUGUUGACCUCACGCCUCGGCACUGGUUGCUGACCACCAGGUUCUGCCGAGCCCUAGUCUUGAUCUUCUUCUUGAUUCCUUUGAUUCCAACACUGUGGGUUUGUUCUGCCAGGAUUUUGUGUUGUGGUAUGCUACUGUAAGGAUUUCCAAUUUGUUAGAUUUAGAAUUUGUCUUCCAAUUUGGCAGUAGACAGUUGGUCUGAAGAUUGCUGGGUUCUGGCAUUUCCGUCGUGGAUCAGGUCUAUUGCCUUCAUAGACGGCUGAAAGAAAGUUAGAGGUUGAUGCUGUCAGGAGGCAGUUCCAGUCGCUAGUCCCCACAGAACGUAGUGUUAGUCUUCUGCAGACCACGAGUUGUUAUUUUAGUUUUCUCUAUCAGACUAUGUUUUGGUCUUGUAAUGAUUUAGUUAUGGAUCUUGUAUGGAUUCUUAUCGUUGAUGGAUUUUGGUAUGAUUUGGAUA